RNAcentral lists this ribosomal RNA (211 nucleotides) under Symbiodinium sp. clade D. RNAcentral's name for it is "partial Eukaryotic large subunit ribosomal RNA". It matches the Rfam family "Eukaryotic large subunit ribosomal RNA", at positions 1921 to 2144 of the family's 3401-position model. Lineage: Eukaryota; Dinophyceae; Suessiales; Symbiodiniaceae. The record is from RNAcentral.
AUUAGAUCUGUAACUUCGGGAAAAGGAUUGGCUCUGAUGUUGUAGCUUAGGGGCCCUCGUGUGAACGCCUAGGAGCUGUCUCGACUGACCGGGCAACUGGUUGGACGAGCGGUUCCGAACGCUGGAUCGCUUGGGACGCUUUCAUCGGCUUACCCUUUGCAACGAAACAACAAAUCAGAACUGAAGCGGACAAGGGGAACCCAACUGUUUA